UACGUAGGGGGCAAGCGUUGUCCGGAAUUACUGGGCGUAAAGCGUGCGCAGGCGGUUUUGUAAGUCUGUCGUGAAAGCCCCGGGCUCAACCUGGGAAUUGCGAUGGAGACUGCAAGGCUUGAAUCUGGCAGAGGGGGGUAGAAUUCCACGUGUAGCAGUGAAAUGCGUAGAGAUGUGGAGGAACACCGAUGGCGAAGGCAGCCCCCUGGGUCAAGAUUGACGCUCAUGCACGAAAGCGUGGGGAGCAAACAGG
RNAcentral lists this ribosomal RNA (253 nucleotides) under uncultured bacterium. RNAcentral describes it as "partial 16S ribosomal RNA". It matches the Rfam family "Bacterial small subunit ribosomal RNA", at positions 524 to 776 of the family's 1533-position model. The record is from RNAcentral.